Molecule: ribosomal RNA, 2783 nt
Filed under: Escherichia coli
Lineage: Bacteria; Pseudomonadati; Pseudomonadota; Gammaproteobacteria; Enterobacterales; Enterobacteriaceae
Description: partial 23S ribosomal RNA
Rfam family: Bacterial large subunit ribosomal RNA
Source: RNAcentral
GGGUUGUGAGGUUAAGCGACUAAGCGUACACGGUGGAUGCCCUGGCAGUCAGAGGCGAUGAAGGACGUGCUAAUCUGCGAUAAGCGUCGGUAAGGUGAUAUGAACCGUUAUAACCGGCGAUUUCCGAAUGGGGAAACCCAGUGUGUUUCGACACACUAUCAUUAACUGAAUCCAUAGGUUAAUGAGGCGAACCGGGGGAACUGAAACAUCUAAGUACCCCGAGGAAAAGAAAUCAACCGAGAUUCCCCCAGUAGCGGCGAGCGAACGGGGAGCAGCCCAGAGCCUGAAUCAGUAUGUGUGUUAGUGGAAGCGUCUGGAAAGGCGCGCGAUACAGGGUGACAGCCCCGUACACAAAAAUGCACAUGCUGUGAGCUCGAUGAGUAGGGCGGGACACGUGGUAUCCUGUCUGAAUAUGGGGGGACCAUCCUCCAAGGCUAAAUACUCCUGACUGACCGAUAGUGAACCAGUACCGUGAGGGAAAGGCGAAAAGAACCCCGGCGAGGGGAGUGAAAAAGAACCUGAAACCGUGUACGUACAAGCAGUGGGAGCACAGAGCAAUCUGUGUGACUGCGUACCUUUUGUAUAAUGGGUCAGCGACUUAUAUUCUGUAGCAAGGUUAACCGAAUAGGGGAGCCGAAGGGAAACCGAGUCUUAACUGGGCGUUAAGUUGCAGGGUAUAGACCCGAAACCCGGUGAUCUAGCCAUGGGCAGGUUGAAGGUUGGGUAACACUAACUGGAGGACCGAACCGACUAAUGUUGAAAAAUUAGCGGAUGACUUGUGGCUGGGGGUGAAAGGCCAAUCAAACCGGGAGAUAGCUGGUUCUCCCCGAAAGCUAUUUAGGUAGCGCCUCGUGAAUUCAUCUCCGGGGGUAGAGCACUGUUUCGGCAAGGGGGUCAUCCCGACUUACCAACCCGAUGCAAACUGCGAAUACCGGAGAAUGUUAUCACGGGAGACACACGGCGGGUGCUAACGUCCGUCGUGAAGAGGGAAACAACCCAGACCGCCAGCUAAGGUCCCAAAGUCAUGGUUAAGUGGGAAACGAUGUGGGAAGGCCCAGACAGCCAGGAUGUUGGCUUAGAAGCAGCCAUCAUUUAAAGAAAGCGUAAUAGCUCACUGGUCGAGUCGGCCUGCGCGGAAGAUGUAACGGGGCUAAACCAUGCACCGAAGCUGCGGCAGCGACGCUGAUGCGUUGUUGGGUAGGGGAGCGUUCUGUAAGCCUGCGAAGGUGUGCUGUGAGGCAUGCUGGAGGUAUCAGAAGUGCGAAUGCUGACAUAAGUAACGAUAAAGCGGGUGAAAAGCCCGCUCGCCGGAAGACCAAGGGUUCCUGUCCAACGUUAAUCGGGGCAGGGUGAGUCGACCCCUAAGGCGAGGCCGAAAGGCGUAGUCGAUGGGAAACAGGUUAAUAUUCCUGUACUUGGUGUUACUGCGAAGGGGGGACGGAGAAGGCUAUGUUGGCCGGGCGACGGUUGUCCCGGUUUAAGCGUGUAGGCUGGUUUUCCAGGCAAAUCCGGAAAAUCAAGGCUGAGGCGUGAUGACGAGGCACUACGGUGCUGAAGCAACAAAUGCCCUGCUUCCAGGAAAAGCCUCUAAGCAUCAGGUAACAUCAAAUCGUACCCCAAACCGACACAGGUGGUCAGGUAGAGAAUACCAAGGCGCUUGAGAGAACUCGGGUGAAGGAACUAGGCAAAAUGGUGCCGUAACUUCGGGAGAAGGCACGCUGAUAUGUAGGUGAAGUCCCUCGCGGAUGGAGCUGAAAUCAGUCGAAGAUACCAGCUGGCUGCAACUGUUUAUUAAAAACACAGCACUGUGCAAACACGAAAGUGGACGUAUACGGUGUGACGCCUGCCCGGUGCCGGAAGGUUAAUUGAUGGGGUUAGCGCAAGCGAAGCUCUUGAUCGAAGCCCCGGUAAACGGCGGCCGUAACUAUAACGGUCCUAAGGUAGCGAAAUUCCUUGUCGGGUAAGUUCCGACCUGCACGAAUGGCGUAAUGAUGGCCAGGCUGUCUCCACCCGAGACUCAGUGAAAUUGAACUCGCUGUGAAGAUGCAGUGUACCCGCGGCAAGACGGAAAGACCCCGUGAACCUUUACUAUAGCUUGACACUGAACAUUGAGCCUUGAUGUGUAGGAUAGGUGGGAGGCUUUGAAGUGUGGACGCCAGUCUGCAUGGAGCCGACCUUGAAAUACCACCCUUUAAUGUUUGAUGUUCUAACGUUGACCCGUAAUCCGGGUUGCGGACAGUGUCUGGUGGGUAGUUUGACUGGGGCGGUCUCCUCCUAAAGAGUAACGGAGGAGCACGAAGGUUGGCUAAUCCUGGUCGGACAUCAGGAGGUUAGUGCAAUGGCAUAAGCCAGCUUGACUGCGAGCGUGACGGCGCGAGCAGGUGCGAAAGCAGGUCAUAGUGAUCCGGUGGUUCUGAAUGGAAGGGCCAUCGCUCAACGGAUAAAAGGUACUCCGGGGAUAACAGGCUGAUACCGCCCAAGAGUUCAUAUCGACGGCGGUGUUUGGCACCUCGAUGUCGGCUCAUCACAUCCUGGGGCUGAAGUAGGUCCCAAGGGUAUGGCUGUUCGCCAUUUAAAGUGGUACGCGAGCUGGGUUUAGAACGUCGUGAGACAGUUCGGUCCCUAUCUGCCGUGGGCGCUGGAGAACUGAGGGGGGCUGCUCCUAGUACGAGAGGACCGGAGUGGACGCAUCACUGGUGUUCGGGUUGUCAUGCCAAUGGCACUGCCCGGUAGCUAAAUGCGGAAGAGAUAAGUGCUGAAAGCAUCUAAGCACGAAACUUGCC